Ctenopharyngodon idella (grass carp) is the source of this 1149-nucleotide long non-coding RNA. RefSeq lists it as uncharacterized. The transcript has 3 exons. The record is from RefSeq and is a predicted model, not a curated record. NCBI's taxonomy places the organism in Eukaryota, Metazoa, Chordata, Actinopteri, Cypriniformes, Xenocyprididae.
UAACACAAAAUGUGUCGUCCUUAUCUAGACACACAGAUGUGUUAAGAAAUAAAAAGGUUGUGGUUUUCAACACUUGAACUUUUGACACGACAACUGACAACAAGAAACUUGAAAUGUGAAAAUAAAGAUCCAUCAUCUUUUAUCCAUCAUCUCCAGGCCAUGAACUCAGACCACACCUCAUCUCAGCCAGCGUACAAACACACUUUCCUGGAAUCACUAAACCAGAACCGCUGGAUCGGGGACGGGCAUUUCCUCUCAUCACGUCAUCAGUUUAUAAACGCGUCUCAUCUCUCCAGUUCUUUCAGAUUUAGCGGAUGACUGUAAGAGCUCCACCGACUGCGGGUAACAGCUGAGAUAACAGAUACUGUCCGAGCGCCAUCAAAACAACCUCAUGCUCGUAACCACACAUUUUAUCGUCAUUGGCGUAGUAUCAGCGGUGGUUUUGAUUGUUAUCAUCAUCGCCCUCACCUGCUGCUGCUUUAAGUAAAAAUGGAAAUAGUGUAUCAGAUCUCCAGUAAGACUGCACCUUAUUGGAUGCAGAUUAUACCGUGGAUGUGUUUUAGUCAUAGUUAUUAAAGCCAUUUUUAAAAUUCUUGAAUAUGUCUCAUUUUCAAUUUGUCCUUUCAGUUUGGUUUUUGUUCAGUGACAGUUUUACUUUAUUUAGUGUAUUCUUUCAGUUUUGUUGAUGUUUUUUCCAUUAUAUUUAGUUCGUGUUUUAGAGCUGCCAAAGUUAACAGUGUUAAAUGUAAAUCUAGUGGCAUGUUUAAUGCAGGUGGAUUGAUUGUAAAUGUUCCAAAUUGUACGGAUUAAUAUACUGUGUAUCAAAGACUACAAUUAACUCAUGGUCAGCUUUAUUUUUGUUAGUUUUGUUGGUUAAUGUGGUUGAGUUUCAGCUUUUUUCCAAUUUUCAUAGUUUUCACUAACAGUGAAAUGUUCACAGAUAUUUUAAAUGUCUUGGACUUCUACACAAAACCUGCAAACAGCCAUAGUUCUGUUUAAAGGAAGUGUGAACAAGUUUUCUGUUGAGUUUAUUCUUUUUAAGGUCUAAAAUGCAACUGGAACUGAAUGUGAGAAAGAUUUCCCACAGUUCUGUCACGAGUGUUCAACACUGGAUCCCCGACUGCUGAAAUAAAAGAGAAAUGAUCUCCA